RNAcentral lists this ribosomal RNA (477 nucleotides) under uncultured bacterium. RNAcentral's name for it is "partial 16S ribosomal RNA". It matches the Rfam family "Bacterial small subunit ribosomal RNA", at positions 30 to 507 of the family's 1533-position model. The record is from RNAcentral.
AUUGAACGCUGGCGGCAUGCCUUACACAUGCAAGUCGAACGGUAACAGGUUAAGCUGACGAGUGGCGAACGGGUGAGUAAUGUAUCGGAACGUGCCCAGUCGUGGGGGAUAACUGCUCGAAAGAGCAGCUAAUACCGCAUACGAUCUGAGGGUGAAAGCGGGGGAUCGCAAGACCUCGCGCGAUUGGAGCGGCCGAUAUCAGAUUAGGUAGUUGGUGAGGUAAAGGCUCACCAAGCCGACGAUCUGUAGCUGGUCUGAGAGGACGACCAGCCACACUGGGACUGAGACACGGCCCAGACUCCUACGGGAGGCAGCAGUGGGGAAUUUUGGACAAUGGGCGCAAGCCUGAUCCAGCCAUGCCGCGUGCGGGAAGAAGGCCUUCGGGUUGUAAACCGCUUUUGUCAGGGAAGAAAAGGUUCUGGCUAAUACCUGGGACUCAUGACGGUACCUGAAGAAUAAGCACCGGCUAACUACGUG